This 249-nucleotide ribosomal RNA is filed under the name uncultured bacterium. RNAcentral's name for it is "partial 16S ribosomal RNA". It matches the Rfam family "Bacterial small subunit ribosomal RNA", at positions 118 to 348 of the family's 1533-position model. The record is from RNAcentral.
UGGGUAACCUGCCUCAAGGAGGGGAAUAGCCUCCCGAAAGGGAGAUUAAUACCGCAUAAUACGUUUAAGUCGCAUGACUUUAACAUCAAAGGUAUUUUCUUUUAAGAAAUUCCACUUUGAGAUGGACCCGCGGCGCAUUAGCUAGUUGGUGAGGUAACGGCUCACCAAGGCAACGAUGCAUAGCCGACCUGAGAGGGUNAUCGGCCACAUUGGAACUGAGACACGGUCCAGACCUCCCGUAAGGGACGG